AUGGUGGAAGGCUCUGCGAGUGACAUCAUGAGCUUGAAGUUCCUCCUGCUCUGUUUUUAGCAGAUGUCUGGCCUCAGGAUCAACUACAAUAAGAAUGCGGUGAUGGUCUUGGGAUAUUCCCAAGACGAACGACAAAGCAUCGCAGACCAUCUUAACUGUUAGCUCGGGAGCUUCCGCACGACUUAUUUGGGGAUGCCCAUUAGUGACACAAGGCUCACGGUGGCCGAGCUGCACCCUACGGUGGGCAAGCUCCAGCAUCGCAUUGAACCUUGGCAGGGGCGAUGGCUCUCUAAAACAGCCCGGACUAUGCUCAUUAACUCGUCCCUAUCCAGCCUGCUCCUAUUCAUUAUGAGCUUCUACAGCGUGCCUGAGACACUGCACCAUGAGAUUGCCAGAGUUUAGAGGUGCUUCUUCUAGGUUGGCAAGGGCGAUAAGCAGAAGUACCACAUGGUUCGGUGGACGGAGAUCUGUAAACCUCGCGAAAAGGGCAGACUCGGGAUCAUGUCCUCCAAACGCAUGAACAUUUCCCUCCUGACUCAAUGGCUUUGGCGGAUUGCAAAUGGAGAGGGUGGCCUAUGGCUUCGCAUCAUCCAACAAAAAUACCUCCGUGGCCAGCCACUCACCUUCUGCCAGCGGUCCGGUGGCUCCCAGUUCUGGCAAUCCAUCAUUCAGCUCCUCCCAGUCCUCUGCUUCGGGACCUUGAGGCGGUUGGAUCUGGCACUGCCACGCUCUUCUAGUUCGAUAGACGGGCUGGGGAUGUCCCCUUCGCGGAUCGGUUUCCUAACCUGUUCACCAUUGCGGUAG
This 804-nucleotide ribosomal RNA is filed under the name Triticum aestivum (bread wheat). RNAcentral's name for it is "partial small subunit ribosomal RNA". Lineage: Eukaryota; Viridiplantae; Streptophyta; Magnoliopsida; Poales; Poaceae. The record is from RNAcentral.